UGCCCUUUGCUCGAUGGUAGAUAGAUCUGACCGAUAAGGUCAAUUCCCCAACCUCUAAAUGGCCACGGCUUUAUUAUUGGUUUCAUAGCCAAGGCCGGUGCUCGUUGCACGUUGUCGAAUGUCUAACAAUCUUGACAUCCUUUAUAAUAUUUAAAACAAUCUUCAAGUAUUGUCGGCCAGUAAUACCCAUUGUUUUCUAAUCAUCCACUUCAUCUUGAAAGCCGAUUGAUGGGCCCCACAUACACCUUCAUGAAUUUCACCCAUCAAAGUUUUCGCUUCCUCCACUCCAAGGCAUUUGAG
This 300-nucleotide long non-coding RNA is filed under the name Setaria viridis. RNAcentral describes it as "long non-coding RNA (SVIR_LNC002847)". The record is from RNAcentral. Lineage: Eukaryota; Viridiplantae; Streptophyta; Magnoliopsida; Poales; Poaceae.